CAUGCCACGGUGGUGCAGGAUGCUGGCUGGAACACCACUGCGGCAGCUUGAAGUGCCAGCCCUGGAUGUUGUUGUUGUAAGAGAAGAGCUUUGAUUGCUUUAAUGUUAAAGCCAGGGAACCUGUAAGAGCUUCAAUAACUUUAAUGCUAAAGGAACCGGUUUUCACUUAUGCCCUGGGGCUACAUUUCCUAUUUGGCACUGACCUGCACAUGUCCUCCUCAUCUCCUGCAAAACUUAUGACAGAAAGGUACAAAAGUGCUGUACAUUUGCUCUGCAUUAUGAACCAUGGCUGCAGAAAAUCAGAAAAGGAAUUAUUCAGUACAUCCUCACCCAUUCCCUCUCUGAAACCCUGCCGUCAGCAGGAGUAACAAAACAAAAGUGUUUGGUGAAUCCUGGAGCUCUGCAGAAGUACAGAAAGCACUUGUGAGGGAAACUGUUGCAACAAAUGCGCUCUCCAGUUGCUCUCUGAGAUGAUGAAAGAGUGCAGCUACAUUGGAGAUGCACACUGCAGCAGCAGGAUGAAAGAACCUCAGUGCAGCUUCAGAAACAUACAUUUUAGUCACUGUGCCAUUGCUUCAAUCACUUGCAAAUUUUAUUGCUGUUGUCUUCUAUUUGUGUGUCUGUCAUGUUUUAUUGUUGCGUUUAUCGUAAGCUGUCCCAAGCAGCAGUGUACUGGAUGAGGGAGGGGGUAAAAUGUUUUAAAUACAUACACACAUAAUACAAUGCAUCUCAUACAGCUGAACAUCAUUGAUUAUGAAUCACUGAUUAUGAUUCCCCCCCACCCCGGGGUAAAUGGAAGCAUCUGAUCAGAUGAAACUUGAAGCAGGUGCUGCUGCUGCCUUGGAAGACGUUAUGGGGCAAUCCCAGACCUAAAUAAUGAUGCAACAAAAAUGGCAAGAGUGGAUAUUAGGGAUCUUGAGAUUAGCAGCACCAUUUUUACCUGGGGGUGUAUUGGAACAAUAAAGUUGGCCUUCCUGAAACUUUUGGAAUGACAAGCUAAAUUUAUUGAACUGAGUGAUUCAGCACAGCAGACUGGACAUCCUGCACCUGGCACACAAUAUCAUGAUGAGUGGAACCGGUGAGUGGAACAGGUGCCUUCUGUCUUGUGUUUCCUCACCUCCUUGUAAUGGAACAUCUAGCACUGCUGAAGGGAGGCCAUGACAGCGAGCCAAAGUGAAUAUGUCAAUCUGUUCUGAGGUUUUGGAUACCUGAACUUGAUAUCAGACUUCUUUUUGUUAUAGUGGACAAUGUACAUUUAAAACUCUGUGUCCUUCCACAUGUGAGAUGUAUCAUUCUGCUCUUAAAAGAGCUUAGUAUGAGCACUGUUCAGUGGCCACACAUAUUUUUUACUACUACUACUACUAUGAUUAUUUAUGUACUGCUCUUCAAUCAAAGUUCUCAAAGCAGUUUACAUAGAAAAAUAUAUAAUAGGAUGGUCCCCCGUUCCCAAAGAGCUCACAAUCUAAAAAGAAACAUGGCAGAUACCAGCUACAGCCACUGGAGGGAUGCUGUGCUGGGGUUGGAUAGGGCCAGUUGCUCUCCCACUGCUAAAUAUAAGAGAAUCGCCACUCAGUUAGCAUGCUUUUUCUUUGGGCUCUACAUACUGUUCAGUGCUCAUCCUGAAUAUGAAUGGCACAUCUGUAAUGUAUGUGUAUAUUCAUUCAUAUUCACUGAGAUGUUUUAAUUUUUAUAUGUAUUAUGUGUUGAACUGUUUUAACUUUUGUAUGUGUUUUAAUUGUUGUUAGCCGCCCAGAGACGUAAGUUUGGGUGGAGUAUAAAUUUAAUAAACAAACAAACAAACAAACAAACAAACAAAUAAUGUGCAAUGGCCUGUAUAAGAACACAUGCCACUGCAUAAUAACUUGAGGUUGAAUAACAAACAUUUAAAAAUGCUAUAUUGUAAUGUUUUCAACGGAAUGUAAUGAAACAUAAGCUCUAUCAAAAUAAAAAAACAUAUUAGGGUUAGGAUUACAUCUCACAUGCAUUUCAAGCAGCAUAUUGAUUCAUGGUAGUCCAGGAACAGCUUUAUAAGUAAAAGUGUAGUUACAGGGUACAACCCUACUUGUAGUGGCAGUGUCUCUUCCUUACAAGCUUUGUACAUCAGUAUGCAUAUGAGAUCAAAUUUCCUGCAGCUACAAACCU
Hemicordylus capensis (graceful crag lizard) is the source of this 2142-nucleotide long non-coding RNA. RefSeq lists it as uncharacterized. The transcript has 4 exons. The record is from RefSeq and is a predicted model, not a curated record. NCBI's taxonomy places the organism in Eukaryota, Metazoa, Chordata, Lepidosauria, Squamata, Cordylidae.